Molecule: ribosomal RNA, 2316 nt
Filed under: Triticum aestivum (bread wheat)
Lineage: Eukaryota; Viridiplantae; Streptophyta; Magnoliopsida; Poales; Poaceae
Description: partial small subunit ribosomal RNA
Source: RNAcentral
GUUGCAGAGUCAACACCAUGUCGACCCGCCCCCUCUCCUCUCUCGCGCAGGCGCAGGCGCAGUCGUGUUCUCUCCUGUCGCGGCACGGAGCCCUGCUCCUUUCUUCCAUAAAAGAAAGGAAAGCCGGCCGCCCGUUCCCAGCUCAUACACAAGAGCAAGCAAGCAGACAUGAGAGGCGCCCGCCUCGCCCCGUGCCUGCCCUUGCUCCUGCUCGCCGUCGCCCUCGCCGCGUGCUGGGGCGGAGGCGCCGACGGGCACGGUGUGCACCCGCGUCGCCAUGGACGCCUCCGCCGCCGUGCGCGCGUCGCCCAACCUCCUCGGCUCGCGGGGCGAAGAUACCACGCGCAAGCGACGGCGACUGGAUCGGGGUAUUCUCCCCUUCCAAUUUCAACGCGUCCACGUGCCCUGGUUCCCACGGGUCAGGCCCUGGCCCUGCGAUCUGCUCGGCGCCAAUAAAGUAUCAGUUUGCGAAUUACUCGUCAGGUUAUAACAAGUCAGGGCAAGGGGCUCUCAGGUUCCAGUUGAUCAACCAGCGCCAGGAUUUCUCCUUCGGGUUCUUCACCGGUGGACACAUCACGUCUUGCUAUUCUAUCCACUUUCUAUCUGUCCAUCAUUCAGAGAAUCACACCGACUUCAUCCAAUCCAUCUGCAGCCAGCGCUCGUGGCGGUGUCGAACAGGAUCGUCUUCGCGAACCCGAAAGCCCCGGUUUACCCACGUCUAGCGCUCGGGAAAACAUGGAACGAGAUGACUGUCACAUGGACAAGUGGGUAUGGCAUCAGUGAGGCGCACCCCUUUGUUGAAUGGGGCAUGAAAGGGAGCCAUCCUGUGCACGCGACAGCUGACACUGUCACCUUUGGUCGCGAGAGCCUCUGUGGAGAACCUGCUCGUAGUGUUGGUUGGAGGGAUCCAGGCUUCAUACACACAGCUUUCCUGAAGAAUCUAUCACCAGAGAAAGAAUACUACUACAAAAUCGCACACACGCUCCAUGGUGGAAAAGUUAUAUGGGGCAAGCCCAAAUCCUUCAGAGCACCUCCUUAUCCCGGGCAAAAGUCACUGCAGCGGGUUGUUAUUUUCGGUGACAUGGGAAAGGACGAGAGAGACGGAAGCAACGAGUACCAGAAUUACCAGCCUGCGUCACUCAACACCACCGACGCGCUGAUCAGGGACCUCGACAACACCGACAUCGUGUUCCACGUCGGCGACAUCUCCUACGCUAACGGCUAUCUGUCGCAGUGGGAUCAGUUCACGCAGCAGGUCGAGCCAAUCACCUCUCGAGUACCCUACAUGAUCGCAAGGCGGGAACCACGAGCGAGAUUUCCCCAACAGCGGGUCGCUGUACAACGGCACGGACUCCGGCAGGGAGUGCGGGGUGCCGGCCGAGACCAUAUACUACGCGCCGACGGAGAAGAGGGACAACUACUGGUACUCCAUGGACUACGGGAUGUUCCGGUUCUGCGUGGCGGACAGCGAGCACGACUGGCGGGAGGGCACGGAGCAGUACAGUACAGGUUUCUCGACCGCUGCCUGGGCAGCGUGGACCGGGCGAAGCAGCCGUGGCUGGUCUUCAUCGCGCACCGUGUCCUCGGCUACUCCUCGGGCUUCUUCUACGGCUACGACGGGGCGUUCGCGGAGCCCAUGGCGCGGCAGAGCCUGGAGGGGCUGUGGCGGCGGCACCGGGUGGACGUCGCCUUCUACGGCCACGUCCACCAGUACGAGCGGACGUGCCCUGUCUACGAGGAGAGGUGCGUGCCGGACGGGCACGGCACCGUCCACGUCGUCGUCGGGGGCGGCGGCAGCCACCUGAGCAGCUUCACCGCCGAGGCCCCGCCGUGGAGCGUGUACCGGGAGAUGGACUACGGUUUCGGCAAGCUCACGGCGUCCGACGCCAGGUCGCUCCAGUUCGAGUACCGGCGGUCCAGCGACGGCAAGGUGUACGACAGCUUCACCCUGCACAGGGACUGAGUAGCUGUACCCUCUGGCCUCUCACCACAUGAUGCAGAGGAAAUCGGCUGUACACAUGAACUGAGAUGAACACGUCCGUCCACAAAUUCUCCUGAUUCUACUCUAAAUAAAGGGAAAAGAAAUUCUCUAUAAGUUUAGUCAUGUACACAAGAUACCAAGUGAUGUGCAAACUACUUUUUUUUACGGGGAAACUUCCGAUCUACUCAUUAACUGUCAAGUUAGUACAAAGAACACCAGAAGAUGUAUAUGAUGUUCAAGAUAGCAAUGAUGUAUAUGAUGAAGAUGUACAUUUUUCUCGAUAAAGAUGAUGAAGAUGUACAUGAUGCUCAAGAUAGCAAUGAUAGAUGCUCAAG